This 6428-nucleotide long non-coding RNA is filed under the name Coffea arabica (coffee). RNAcentral describes it as "long non-coding RNA (CARA_LNC005865)". Lineage: Eukaryota; Viridiplantae; Streptophyta; Magnoliopsida; Gentianales; Rubiaceae. The record is from RNAcentral.
CCAAAUUCAAAGUCUUGUACGUUUCUUUUCCUAGAGUCCAAAUGACUCAUGCUUCUUAUCCGUGGUCCCCGCACAUGUGGACAAAGCCUCCAAAGUACUUGUUGUUCCAAGUUUCUCUACGUUGCUUUCUUUGAAAAGCCCAAAUGACUAAAUGCCUUGCACUAGCUUGUGAUCCCCACCAAUUCAAGAGUCCAAGGUCCUUAGAAGUCUCCAUUUUUCCAUAAGAGUCCCUCCUUUUUGGUAAUUUUCUGCUUUGUUCCUAAAAUUAAGUCCCAAUACCAAAUAUAAGUAAAUAUUAAUAAUUCAAACAAUAUUUGGCAAGGAUAAAGGGGAAAUUAACAAUAAAAUUACUAACAAUUAACACCCUAUCAAUUCCCCCCACACCUAAAUCAUGCUUGCCCUCAAGCAUGAGAACAACAAUUGAACACCAAAAUUCGACCAUGGCUGUUACUCCAACUACCGUAUUGCCAAGACACCAAGAAAAUCAUAUAUCAAGCGACACAGGUCAAGAUCCAAGAAAAAUCACUCCGGUUAGCAUCUAAACUACCAACUCCUCCAAUUUAAAGCAAACUAAUCUAAGAAAAAGGAAUGGUUGCUCACAUUUAUCAGCAAAUGGUCCAACUAUUAAUCCAAAUCUCAACAUUAACCCAUAGAUCGGUAAGCUGACUUUAGACACACACUUACACAACCUUCACCUUUUUUUAUCACGUUUUUCUAUUUUUCUCUUUUUUUUUCAAUAAUAACAAAAGACUUAGUUUCUAGCCAUUAGAGCCUUUUGACGCGAACUCCAACAUUUGAUAGAUGGAGGAGCCCGGUUACUCAGCUCCAAUCGCUACGAGACCAUGUACUCAUAGCAACUACUACCUUUUGACGCGAAAAUCAACACUUUAGGUGAAGAUCCCCGGUUACUCAGUAGUAGCUACUAGCGGAGUACAGUCAACUCUUAUUUGCAAUCAUAUAACACAACAACUAAAAAUAACAGCAGCCAGCCUCAAAUUCCAAACAUGGAGAACUAAAAUUAAUAAUUGGACCAAUUCACAUGAAGAAUGCCAACAAUCAUUCCCUAUGCCUAGAAGAGUUAACCAAAAAUUGGAAAAGUCAAGCAAGUAUUGAUAUUCACCAAAGAGAUGUUCCUGAACUCAACUACAUCAACUUGAUAUCCUUUUAUUACUAAAACUUGGCAAUAGCAGAAUUAGAAACAGCAACCCAGUAUCAAAACUUGGUAUUCAUAUAAAACUGAUCACUAGUAAAAGUAAAAAAGAAAAUAAACGAAAAAAUAGAACAAAUAACAACGAAAAUAAAGGAAAAAAAAACUAAAAACUGAACACCAGAAAUACCAGCUGUACCACAGCUCUCCCCCCACACCUAAAUCACACAUUGCCCUCAAUGUGAUAAAUAAAUAGUAAUAGCAAGGCGAAGGGCAACGGGACUUCCCUGAAGUCAUCAAAACAGGGGCGGUUCAGGUGGAAAUUGAGGAUUAAGGCCUGCAUGGGGCAUAAAUGCUGCCAAAUUCUGCGCAUGUGAUGCAGGUUGACGUCAAUGUGGGUCAUCCAAGUUGCUAGUCGUUCAACUCGCAUCUGGAGCUGGUGCCAUUCGUCAGCCCCUGGGGUAGGAGGAGGCAGCGAGUGUCUAGAUGUCCUAAACCUAGAAGCGGAUCUUGGCCUUACCAUGAGCUCUAGAUGUCACUCUAAUCACAAGGGACUACAAUUGCCAACAGAUAAUGGAAACAGGAAUUUCAAAGUAAUAACAAUUUUUUUGUUUAAAAACCAACCCAAUGAACAAUAGGCACAAUUCAAUCACCCACAGGUUAUACGAAUACCUGAACACUAAUAACAAAUGCAAUCAAUGAGCCCCUGUGGUCCAAAUAUAGUCAAAUUUAGAAUCAAGGCAGUCCAAUCAAGCAGCAAGUGCUCCAAAUAGCUUAGUAAAGGAAACCAAAAGGAUAAAAUGCUCCUAAACAAGGCAAUCAGCGGCAACUAACUUCAAUAAGCAAAUUUAAGCGUUAUAGGCACCUCCCAAUUUAACAAGCAAAUUACCCACAAUUAGACACAAAUCACAGCAAAAUAGACACAAUUGGUCCCAAAAUGGUAACAACUGUCUCCAAUUGGACAGUUAAAUACCCAAUUCAACCUGCUAAAAUUAGCAAUUGACCACAGAAAUUGGCAAUUCCAGCAACCACAGUUCAGGAUUUGAAAAACAAUUUAAGCACUAAGGAUCAAGAAACUGUAAGCAACGAUGCAACCAGUACCACUGGUGUAUACACAGGGAGGAUUUAAAUCAAACAGCAGUAACUCAAUAAAUAUCAGAAAAUAUCCCCACGUAUGGCAGCAAUUAAACCCAAUUCCACUCAAAAUCUCAACAAAUAUCUCCAAUGGACAGUCUUACACAACUUAACCAACUGAAAUUAGCAAAUGUCCCCAAGAAACUGACAAAAUAAGCAAUAGUAGUUCAAAAUUUGGACUACAACUAAAUCAAAAUGUUUGGCAGUUUUCGAUCAAGUAGCCCACCAAAGAGAAUGAAUAAAUGUUAGGUAAACUACCAUAACCAGUACCACUGGUGUAUGCACAGAGAAGAAUUGAAUCAAACAGCAAACUCAAUUCACUAAGAAAUACAAACAACACUAGAUAGUACUUCAAGAGCCUAAACAAAUGACAAUUAUAUUAGACUAGGCAAAUCAGUUGCAGGUCAUAACCCAAUGCACUGGCUCCAGUAACCCAGAUGCAAUUCAAUCAAAUGAACUCAGUGAAAUCGCAAGCACCAAAACCCCCUCAACAUCAAGAAAUCAGAAUCGGGGACCAUAAAAUUAAUAAGAAAAGCCUGGCACCAGGGCGGUUGAGCUACCGACGGCGGUGCUAAGCUGUGCGUCCCGAGUGGUGCAGGUUGAGUGGUGCGUGAGGGGGGAAUUGGGCUAGACGAAAGGCGGCGCGCGUGUGAGGGAGCAAUGAGCUGGGGACGGUCACGCUUGUUGUGGGCUUGUGGGCCGCGGCUGGAGAGAGAGAGAUCUAGUGGCUGAGGCUUCAGACGCGAGGUUGCAGCUGCUGUAGUGAUGGUGGAGCGGGCUGGUCAGCGGCGAGAGGCGCGCGAGGACGGUGAGAGUGGAGGAAGAGGCUGACUGCAGCUGCGAACUGGUGGCGGCUUGGACUGGUCAGCGGCGGGCGUCGGCUCGUGGAGAAGGUGGACUGAAGGGCUGCGUGGGCUGAGCUCAAUGGAGCCGCGAGGUGAGCUGGAAGUGGCGUGGGGUGAAGCAGGGGUUGCAAGCUGGUGGUGGAGAGAGGAGGCCACGGCGAGCUUGAGAGCCGGCGGUGCUCGCGUGGUGGUGGACCGUGAGGCGGAGAGAGGCGCGCGAGCUGGUGGAGAGCUGGUACUGGAGCAGGCCUGUGGGUGGGGUGCGGCGAGCGAAGCUGAGGAGGCGGCACUCCUGGAAGGUGAGAGUGGAGGAGAGGCGCGGCUUGGCAGAGCUGGUGGCGACCGUGAGGUGAGGCGGCGAUCUGAUGGCGUGUGUAGCGGCGGACAAAGAGAAUGGAAAGGAAAAUAGGGAAGAAGAAAGAAAGAAAAGAAAAAAUUUUUUUUUUUUUUGGAAUUUUUUUUAUUUAAAUUGAAUUGAGAUUGGAAAAUUCGAUUUUUGAAUACCAAAACUGAAAAUGAAAAAGGAAAUUACUUUUAUUAAAUUUUUUUUUUAAAGUGAAAAAUUAUUUCCUUUGUUUUUGAGUCGUCAAACACCGCGUGGGCACGCCAAGAUUGGUAAACGUCCAUUGAUCUCAAGAGACACAAACACCGCGUGGGCACGCCAAGAUUGCACUUCCUGCCACUGUGGAGAAAAACAUGAAGACCGAUUACUACUCAAUCGAGAAACGAAAAACGAAAGAAAUGAACAACGAAAAAUAAUAAAAUCAAUAUUUGGGUUGCCUCCCAAAAAGCGCCUUUCUUUAAUGUCUUUGGCUAGACAUUGUUAUGUCUUGUUCAUGGAGGAUAAAAUCUUGUGGCUCGCUUCAAUGCUACAUCUUCAAUGUAAUUCUGGUAACCCUCAUAGAUGGAGUAAUCUUUGAGCACACGAGCUACGGUCUUCCAUGGACUAGUUGAUGGCGCCAAAUAAUCAAGCAUUGAUCGCAAUUCUUCAUCCACUCCUCCAUCAAGAGCACUCAACGGUUCAAGAUAUUUGACCAUAACUGCUCUUAACUUAUUUCUGCCAUGAGACUCAAAAACUUCCGGUAUAACAAAAUCAAUCUCAUUAACAGAAAUCAUGGAGUAAGAGUUAAGAAAAUGCGGGUUAGGGAAUGGAGGUGGUGUCACCACAUUUGAUGAUUUUUCACUGGAUUCUUUCACUUGAAUAGGUUGCGGUUGGGAUUCCAUUUCUUCCUUUUCGGCUUAUUUUUCAACUACAUCUGUAGACUUCUCAUUCUGACACUCUUGCAUCUCCUCAUCACUAGUCAAGCAAAUUGCACUCUCAUUUUCUUCUAGAUCGACAAUGGUUUUCGAGGGCAAUUCUUCCAUUUGAGAAGCCAAUCGAUUUAUUCUGGAUGUCAAUAGACAUAGUUGAUCUUCCAGAUUACUCAUUGCAUCCUUCAUCAUCUCAUUUCUCAUUCGUGUCUCCUGUUGGAAUUGAUAUGUAUUAGUAGCUAACGAUUCAACUAUUUCUUCAAGAGACAAACCUGACAUAGAUGAUGAUUCUUGAGACUCAUACUGCUGAAAAUUCAUUGGCCCUGUUGUAUAAUUAUAACUGGAGUUAUCCCACCAUUCUUGAUCAUACCCGUUUGGAUUAGGGUUAUACCACAUUUGAGACCAGGGUGAAAAAUCUCCAUAAUUAUCGAGUGGGACACUCAGAUUAUCCUGAUAUUCGGGGCACAUACCGGUUGAAUGAUCCCUGGCAUAACAAAUUUUACAGGUUGCAGCAGCCAUUCUUUCUCUAAUAGAGUUUAGUGCCUCUGAAUAUGCAAACUUAGCAAAAAAACUAGUCUCAUUGCCUUCCUUGGAAACAAAAUCCAGUCUAUCACCAAAAUACGGGGUGUUAGAAGCCAUAAACUAUAUAAAAAAAAUAAGAGAAAAAUAAAUGAAAAAAUAAGAAAAAGAUGAACUCAAAAAGAAACAAAUUAAUCUGGCACCAGUCCCCGGCAACGGCGCCAAAAAUUGACAGGUGCCGAACCUGUGCAAUAAUAAAUACCUACUCGAGAAAAAUACAGAUUUUGUAUAUAGCGGUGAGUAGGGUCGAAUCCACAGGGAUUGGGGAUAAUUCGUUUAUCUUAGAGUCCAAGGUAUGGGGAGGUUUUGGAUUAAAUGCUAACUAAAUAAAUUAACUGCAGAAAAUAAUUGAUUAAGAGAAAUAAUUAAGGGAAAACUCUAAGCAAGGGUACACUUCAGAAAUGGUUCAGGCACUGAUCAUUGAUUCACACAUAAUUCCACAUUUAUUAAUAGACCAGUUAUAGUUGUCAUGCACGCGAUAAACAACCAAUCUUUUCUUACUUUCUCGAUAGUUAAGGUACGACCGUUAACUAUUUCUCUAACCCAAAAACAACCCUAGGUACGACCAUAGGAUUUAAUUUCUAGAUUGCAUUAAUAAUUAGAAAGGCCCAAUCCUAACUAACAAACACGCUACGAGGGUUUGUUUAAGUUAGAUCGUAUGCUCCCCUGACAUAAACCCAAUUACGCCAGUUGCUACUGAGAUAAAGAUAACGAACAAUUACGGAUUCAAUUAUCCCUAUUUAGCAAAAUAGCCUAUGUGAAUAAUUAAAUAUUGCGCAUCUAUUCGAUCACUCACACGAGCUAUAGCAAUUAAAAGCAGGAAACAUAUAAAUACCAAUAAAUUAAGGAAGCAAUUAAAAUAAAUUAGAUCUCACAGUAAUUGCUGAACCAAAUCUUCAGUUGUCCCCUUGACUUGAAUUAAGAGAUUAGCUCUCCAUUAAUGGAGAACAACCAUGCGAAAGAGCUAAGAAAAGAAAACUAAAACAAUGCUAAAAGCCUAAACUAAAACUAUUGAUUCCUCCACCUCCCGUACGUUUCUCCCUUUUUAAAGCCAAAAGGAAGUCUAAUGCUAUCUCUAGUGGUCCCCACACCAAAUUCAACCAAAUUCAAAGUCUUGUACGUUUCUUUUCCUAGAGUCCAAAUGACUCAUGCUUCUUAUCCGUGGUCCCCGCACAUGUGGACAAAGCCUCCAAAGUACUUGUUGUUCCAAGUUUCUCUACGUUGCUUUCUUUGAAAAGCCCAAAUGACUAAAUGCCUUGCACUAGCUUGUGAUCCCCACCAAUUCAAGAGUCCAAGGUCCUUAGAAGUCUCCAUUUUUCCAUAAGAGUCCCUCCUUUUUGGUAAUUUUCUGCUUUGUUCCUGAAAUUAAGUCCCAAUACCAAAUAUAAGUAAAUAUUAAUAAUUCAAACAAUAUUUGGCAAGGAUAAAGGGGAAAUUAACAAUAAAAUUACUAACAAUUAACACCCUAUCAA